GAUGAAGAACGCAGUGAAAUGCGAUAAGUAAUGCGAAUUGCAGAAUCCGUGAGUCAUCGAAUCUUUGAACGCACAUUGCGCCCUUUGGUAUUCCGAAGGGCAUGCCUGUUCGAGCGUCAUUAUCACCACUCAAGCCCGGCUUGCUGUUGGUGGCAGCGCAGCCGGUCAACCGGCUACGCUCCACCCAAAGAUAAUGACGGCGUCUGCGAGGACUCCUGUACAUUGAGCUUUCGGGCACGUACAUGGCUAGAAGUCCAGGCGCCGGUCGACGUCCUCCGGGACACUUUUUACCAAGGUUGACCUCGAAUCAGGUAGGGAUACCCGCUGAACUUAAGCAUAUCAAUAAGCGGAGGA
RNAcentral lists this unclassified non-coding RNA (354 nucleotides) under soil metagenome. Its description in RNAcentral is "partial contains 5.8S ribosomal RNA, internal transcribed spacer 2, and large subunit ribosomal RNA". The stretch from base 1 to 119 matches the Rfam family "5.8S ribosomal RNA", at positions 35 to 154 of the family's 154-position model. The record is from RNAcentral.